This is a long non-coding RNA of Cephus cinctus (wheat stem sawfly), 412 nucleotides long. RefSeq lists it as uncharacterized. The record is from RefSeq and is a predicted model, not a curated record. The transcript is spliced from 3 exons. NCBI's taxonomy places the organism in Eukaryota, Metazoa, Arthropoda, Insecta, Hymenoptera, Cephidae.
AUGGAAUUGUUCACUUUAACGUCGCCGGUACUCAAGCAGCGUCCUCGCACUGAACGUAGAAUAAAAAUAUCGACCGUUGAAUCAGCCCUGAAUGAAAUGUAACCUAGAACCACAAAUCACUUAUGAGAGUAGGUUGCACAUAUCUGAUACACGAUGUACCUACAUAUAUAUAUCAAUAUUAAACACACAAGAGAAAAUACACCACCUUCAUCUUCCAAUUUGCAGAGGAAUUUCGUUACACGGUAGCUUGGCUCCACCUGACGUGUCAUAUCUAUGAGACAUAACAACUUCCUGAUUCCAAUGAAAAUGCUACAACAGAAACACAACACUAUAUAGACAUAUGUUAUAUACAAUUAUAAAAUUAAUAACCGCCAUUUUUUAAUUUUAGUUAAUAAUUAAAAAUUAUAUUGUU